Molecule: small nucleolar RNA, 64 nt
Filed under: Rhinolophus ferrumequinum (greater horseshoe bat)
Lineage: Eukaryota; Metazoa; Chordata; Mammalia; Chiroptera; Rhinolophidae
Description: Small nucleolar RNA SNORD113/SNORD114 family (ENSRFEG00010005111.1)
Rfam family: Small nucleolar RNA SNORD113/SNORD114 family
About the family: The imprinted human domain at 14q32 contains two clusters of tandemly repeated small nucleolar RNAs named 14q(I) and 14q(II) snoRNAs.
Source: Rfam by way of RNAcentral
UGGAUCAAUGAUGACUGCCAGACAUGGUUGGUGAAUAAUAUGUGAUUGGAAUUCUGAGGUCCAA